Molecule: ribosomal RNA, 105 nt
Filed under: Octodon degus (degu)
Lineage: Eukaryota; Metazoa; Chordata; Mammalia; Rodentia; Octodontidae
Source: RNAcentral
GCCUACAGCCAUACCACCCUGAAUGUGCCCGAUCUCAUCUGAUCUCAGAAGUAGGGCCUGGUUAGUACCUGGAUGGGAGAAGACACAUAAGUGGGUGGGUAGGUG